Molecule: long non-coding RNA, 4295 nt
Filed under: Sus scrofa (pig)
Lineage: Eukaryota; Metazoa; Chordata; Mammalia; Artiodactyla; Suidae
Description: lncRNA (ENSSSCG00030040980.1)
Source: RNAcentral
AUCUCAUUGAUUUUUCUGUUCUCAGAUUUAUUUCUGCUUAACUUUAUAUUGUUUCCUUCCUUCUAUUUAUGUUAGGUUUAGGUUGCACUUCUUUUUUGUUAUUGUUGUUAGUUUCUUAAGGUUUAUGGUUAGGUACUUAAUUUGAGGUUUUUCAUUGAUUUUGGGUUUGUUUUUUUUGUUUUUUGUUUUUUGUUUUUUUUGGUUUUUUUGGCUGCACCCAUGACACUUGGAAGUUCCCAGGCCAGGGAUUGAACCCGAGUCACAGUAGUGACCCAAGCCAAUGCAAUGACAACGCCAGAUCCUUAACCUUCUGUGCCACAAUAGAACAACAAGCUCUUCUAUUUUUUAAUAUAGAAUUUACAGUUAUAAACUUACCUCUAAGCUUUAGCGCAUCCCAUAACUUUUGACACAUUUUGUUCUUGUUUCUUUUCUUUUUUUUUUUUUUUUUUUUUUUGGCGUUUUUGUUUGUUUGUUUGUUUGUUUAGGGCCGCACCUGCUGGCGUAUGGAGGUUCCCAGGCUAGGGGUCGAAUCAGAGCUGUAGCUGCUGGCCUAUGCCGCAGCCACAGCCACAGCAACGCCAGAUCCGAACUGCAUCUAUGACCUACACCACAGCUCAUGGCAAUGCUGGUUUCUUAACCCACUGAACAAGGCCAGGGAUUGAACCUGCAUCCUCAUGGAUACUAGUCAGAUUCAUUUCUGCUGAGCCACGAUGGGAACUGCAUUCUUGUUUUCAUUUAUCUCAAAGUAUUUCGUAAUUUCCCUUGUGAUUUCUUCUUGACUUAUUGGUUAUUUUGGAGUGUGAUUUCUGCACAAUUUGUGAAUUUCUUGCAUUACCUUCUGUUAUUUAUUUCUUUCAUUCCGCCCUAAUCAGAGAACAUACUUUGUAUGAUUUCAAUCCUUUAAAUUUGACAUGACCUAACAUAAGGUCUAUCCUGAGAAUAUUCCAUAUGCACUUGAGAAAAGUGUAUAUUCUGUUCUUUUAAAUAGAGUACUCUAUAAAUGUCCCUUAGGUCUAGUUAGUUCCUAGUGUUGUUCAAGUCUUCUGUUUCCUUGUUGAUCUUCUUAUAGUUCCAUUCAUUGUUGAAAGUGAGGUAUUGAUGUCUCCAACUAUUACCAUUUUGUUUAUUUAUCCCUUAAUUUCUGUCAUUUUUUUACUUCAUGUAUUUUGAGGCUCUGUUGUUAGGCAGAGAAAAAAUAUGUUUAUAAUUAUAUACAUUCUUGAUGAAUUGACUUUGUGGGGAUACAGAUUAAGAGCCUUUAUUAAGUUUUAUUGGGGUAUAGUUGUAUUAGUUUGAAGUGUAUGGUGAGGUGAAUCAGAUACAUCAAAGUGAAUAUAUAUAUAUCUCCACCUUUUUCAGAUUUUUUUACCCAUACAGGCUAUUACAAAAUAUUGAGUAGAGUUCCCAGGCUAGGGGUCCAGUCGGAGCUAUAGCCACCGGCCUACGCCAGAGCCAUAGCAACGCGGGAUCCGAGCUGCGUCUGCAACCUACACCACAGCUCAAGGGAACGCCGGAUCGUUAACCCACUGAGCAAGGGCAGGGACCGAACCCGCAACCUCAUGGUUCCUAGUCGGAUUCGUUAACCACUGCGCCACGACGGGAACUCCCUAAAAGUGUAUCUUCUAGCAGGAGGCAUGCCAGGAGGAAUGCCUGGGGGCUUCCCUGGUGGCACCUACUCUGGGCCCACCAUUGAGGAGGUUGAUUAAAUCAUCCUGGCAUAGAUUUGGCAUCAUUCCACAUGACAUUGAAGGAUCCAAAUUUGUUGCAAAUUCCAUGGUAGUUGUAAAGUUGAGCUGCUAUAGUAAAUAACUGAGCAUUCUUGAUACUUGAAUAUGGAAUAUGCAUAAGGAAAGGAAAUAACAUUGCACUUUAUUAGCACUGUAUUGUUAAGUGGAAAAUGCAGUGUCUUAAAUAAAACUAUUUAAAAUUGGCACCAUAAAGAAAUAAAGUAUCUUCUAUAGGCAGAAUAUAGUUGGGUUAUGUUAUUUUUAUCCACUCAAAAGGCCAAUAUCUGCCUUUUGAUUUGAGUUUUUAAUCCAUUUAUAUUUAAUGUCAAUACUGACAGCAUUUAUGUUUUCCAUUUUGCUAUUUGUUUUCUACAUGACUUAUGUCUUUUGAUUUCUCUGUUCCUCUACUACCAUCUUCUUUUGUAGAUACUUUCUAGUAUACUAUCUUAAUUAUCUUGUCGUUUUUCUUUGCCUAUAUUUUUGGAGUAAUUUUCUUAGUGGUUUCCUGGGGAUUACGAUUAACAUCUUAAUUUAUAGCAAUCUAGUUCUAGUUAAUACAACUUCAGUAGUAUACAAAAAUUUCAUUCCUAUGUACAUCCACUUCUUCCCCUUCCUUUAUUCUAUUAUUAUCAUGUAUAUACAUCUUUAAACAUUAUAAGCUCUCAACACUGCUUUAUAAGUAUUGUAGUUUUAAUCAGGAGAAAGAAGUGACAAAUAAAAAAUACAUUUAUAUUGUCUUCAUAUUUAGCUGUGUGUUACCCUGACCAAAGUGUUCUUUAUUUCUUCUUGAGAAUUCAGGUUACUAUCUAGUGUUCUUUCAUUUCAGCCUGAAGGAUUCCUUUUAAUAUUUUUGUAAAGAAGGUCUGCUGGUGACCUUCUCUAAGGUUUUGUUUCUCUGAAAAGUUCUUAAUUUUUCCUUUUUUUGAAAGAUGAUUUUUCUGGAUAUACAGUUCUAGGUUGAUAGUUUUUCUUUCAGCAACUUGAUUAAGCCAUUCCACUGCCUCCUGCUCUACAGGGUUUCUUGCAUGUAAUGAAUCACUUCUUUUGUUUUCAAGAUUUUCUUUGUCUUUGAUUACCAAUAGUUUGAUUAUUAUGUGUCUAAAUAUAGCUCUAUCAGACUUUUUUUUUUAUUCGAAAUCUAUUGAUCUUGGAUAUGUAGAUUAAUGGUUUUUAUUAAAUUUGAGAGGUUUUUAGCUAUAUUUCUCUGAAUAUUCUUUCUUUUUUCUCUUUAUUUUGUCCUUCUGGGACUCCCAUUUUGGUACAUUUUAAAGUAUGCCAUAGGAAAAAUAAAUAAAAAUAAAAGGGAGUUCCCCUUGAGGCUCACUGGGUUAAUAACCCGAUAUAGUCUCUGUGAGGAUGUGGGUUUGAUCCCUGGCUUCACUCAGUGGGUUAAGGAUCCAGCAUUGCUGCAAGUUGUGGUGUAGGUCACAAAUGUGGCUCAGAUAUGGUGUUGCAGUGGCUGUGGUGUAGGCCUGCAGCUACAGCUCUUAUUCAACCACUAGCCCAGGAAUUUCUAUAUGCCACAGGUGUGGCCAUAAAAAGAAAAAAAAAUAGUGUGCCAUAGGACUCAGAGUCACAAAUGAGUGAAAAAAAUUUCCAAUUUUGUAAAUGUAAAAUGAUUUUAAGAAUCUUCUCUUAUGAAACUCUCUGAGUAACACUGUCGCUGAGUCCUGAAAAUUCUUAGUGAGGGUGGUUUUUACUGAAGACACCAAUUUGAAGAUGUUUACUAAAGGUAAGUCCUUGUAGACUAGGUAAAUUUAUGAUAUAUAUUUUAUAAACCUUUAUUUUCUUAUUGUGUGCCAAACAGAUGGGCUAAUAAUCAUCGUCAUCAUGUUUUAAAAGCAUGCUUUCCCAUAUAUAUUCUCAGGACAGUCAACACAACCACUCUCAGAGACAGGCAAGGCACAAAUUGAUUUUGCCAUUUCACAAAUGAGGAAAGACCUGAAAGUUUAUGGACCUGCUGAGAAUGCAAAACCAGGAGUUAGUCACGUUUUAUAACCUAGGUUUAAUGCUAUAAGUUCUGCUCUUUAUAACAUGAGCAUUAACAACUAUAAACCAGACCUUGUGUUUUCAAACAGAAGCACAUGGUAUGGAGUGCCUGAGCAGUAGCCACAACUAGGCUAAGAAUUGAGGAAGCAGCAAAGAGGGAAAAGAGUAAUGACAUUUCCAGCCUUCCAGUUUAGAAAGUCCCACUUAAUAUUUUAUUUCAUUCUACAGCAGUCUUACGAAGAAAUUAUGAUUAUUCCAUUUUAAAACAGUUUAGGAAACAGGAUUUCUGAGAGUUUAAAAUAGCUAGGAAUUCCCAUGGUUGUGCAGUGGUAAUGAACCCAACUAGUAUCCAUGAGCAUGAGGAGGCAGGUUUGAUCCCUGGCCUUGCUCAGUGGGUUAAGAAUCCAGCAUUGCUGUGAGCUGUGGUGUAGGUCUCAGACACUGCUCAGAUCCUGUGUUGCUGUGGCUGUGGUGUAGGCCAGCAGCUACAGCUCCAAUUCCACCCCUAGCCUGGGAACUUCCAUGCGCUGCAGCUGUGGCCCUAAAAAAAAANNNNNNNAAAAAAAAAAAAAAAAAAAA